GUGGGGAAUCUUCCGCAAUGGACGAAAGUCUGACGGAGCAACGCCGCGUGAGUGAUGAAGGUCUUCGGAUUGUAAAGCUCUGUUAAUCGGGACGAAAGAGCCUAGUGUGAAUAAUGCUAGGAAGUGACGGUACCGGAAUAGAAAGCCACGGCUAACUACAUGCCAGCAGCCGCGGUAAUACGUAGGUGGCAAGCGUUGUCCGGAAUUAUUGGGCGUAAAGCGCGCGCAGGCGGAUCUGCCAGUCUGUCUUAAAAGUUCGGGGCUUAACCCCGUGAUGGGAUGGAAACUACAGAUCUAGAGUAUCGGAGAGGAAAGUGGAAUUCCUAGUGUAGCGGUGAAAUGCGUAGAUAUUAGGAAGAACACCAGUGGCGAAGGCGACUUUCUGGACGAAAACUGACGCUGAGGCGCGAAAGCCAGGGGAGCGAACGGGAUUAGAAACCCCGGUAGUCC
RNAcentral lists this ribosomal RNA (450 nucleotides) under uncultured bacterium. Its description in RNAcentral is "partial 16S ribosomal RNA". It matches the Rfam family "Bacterial small subunit ribosomal RNA", at positions 354 to 796 of the family's 1533-position model. The record is from RNAcentral.